ACUCCUACGGGAGGCAGCAGUGGGGAAUCUUGGACAAUGGGGGCAACCCUGAUCCAGCCAUGCCGCGUGAGUGAUGAAGGCCUUAGGUCGUAAAGCUCUUUCGCCUGUGAUGAUAAUGACAGUAGCAGGUAAAGAAACCCCGGCUAACUCCGUGCCAGCAGCCGCGGUAAUACGGAGGGGUUAGCGUUGUUCGGAAUUACUGGGGCGUAAAGCGCGCGUAGGCGGAUUAGUCAGUUAGAGGUGAAAUCCCAGGGCUCAACCCUGGAACUGCCUUUAAUACUGCUAGUCUUGAGUUCGAGAGAGGUGAGUGGAAUUCCGAGUGUAGAGGUGAAAUUCGUAGAUAUUCGGAGGAACACCAGUGGCGAAGGCGGCUCACUGGCUCGAUACUGACGCUGAGGUGCGAAAGUGUGGGGAGCAAACAGGAUUAGAUACCCUGGUAGGAUAGCG
RNAcentral lists this ribosomal RNA (447 nucleotides) under uncultured bacterium. RNAcentral's name for it is "bacterial SSU rRNA". It matches the Rfam family "Bacterial small subunit ribosomal RNA", at positions 335 to 799 of the family's 1533-position model. The record is from RNAcentral.